Molecule: long non-coding RNA, 908 nt
Organism: Saccostrea cuccullata (small rock oyster)
Lineage: Eukaryota; Metazoa; Mollusca; Bivalvia; Ostreida; Ostreidae
Exons: 4
Source: RefSeq, a predicted model, not a curated record
UGUAUACUUAUUAAUUUGCAAUUUAAUUAGAUCUAUAUUUAACAAUACAAAAACUCGCAUUUAUAAAUAAAUACGACUCAUCACUGUAUGAGUUGAUACGAAUUGAAAUAAACACGUGUUUCCGCUUUGGUGUAAACAUGAUGGUGAUCCGAAAUCUGAACGUCAAUUUUCAUGAUUAUUUCACGACGAAGAUCAUCACAUCAAUGAAUCAAAUAAUACGGAUAUGCCUUUGGUAUUAGCAGUGUGCGUGUUUCGUAUCGUUCAGCCAAUUUUGCAUUGCUUUUGAACUUUGAUGCUUUUGACAAUCACUCGUAAGUUCAAAGUAAAAUCAAAGUUGUCAUAAUAAUGGAUAGUUGUUUUCAGUAUCUAUGUACCAGUGUGUACAGGUGUACAUGUACCACUUUCACAUUGAAAUUUUAGGGUGCUUUCAGCAUAUGCAACAAUACUUUCAUCUGUGAAUACCCACUUUCUAAGCCCACCAUGAACUAAGAGCGGAAGGUCAAUUAAUAUGUAAGGACACCAAUGAACAGACACUUUCCAAUUAUCCUACAUCAUAUACAUGGGUGGUCAAACUCACUGGAUGGUUUAUCAACACUCCCAUGAUCACGAACAGCCUUGCGCCAGGAAUUUUGCCCUGAAGUAACAUUGCAGUCUAUUUGUCUCCUUUCUUUUUACAACCCUGGCAGCCAUGCAGGAUAGAAGCUGAUCACUUGUACUUGACAGCAAAUAAUAAUGUCUUGGACAAGUCAAAGAAUUUCCUCCGGUCUUACAGAGAAAUGACAGUUGAUAAAAGAAUGGUGGACACAAAGUAAAAGUGCUCUUCAACAUUUUGUUGAAGAUUUCAGUCUGAUUUGGAAUUCAUCUUGCAAUAUAUCUGUAUUUGUAUAUUUGGAUAUAAGCGUCAAAUU